Molecule: ribosomal RNA, 671 nt
Filed under: Tricholoma stans
Lineage: Eukaryota; Fungi; Basidiomycota; Agaricomycetes; Agaricales; Tricholomataceae
Description: eukaryotic LSU rRNA
Rfam family: 5.8S ribosomal RNA (bases 273-426)
Source: RNAcentral
AAGGUUCCGUAGGUGAACCUGCGGAAGGAUCAUUAUUGAAUAAGCUUGGUUAGGUUGUUGCUGGCUCUUCGGGGCAUGUGCACGCCUAACACCAAUCUUCUUACCACCUGUGCACCUUUUGUAGACCUGGAUAACUCUCGAGGAAACUCGGUAUGAGGACUGCUGUGCGUCAAAGCCAGCUUUCCUUACAUUUCCGGUCUAUGUCUUUAUAUACACCAUUUGUAUGACUAUGAAUGUUAUAUCGGACUUGACUGUCCAAAUAAACCUAAUACAACUUUCAACAACGGAUCUCUUGGCUCUCGCAUCGAUGAAGAACGCAGCGAAAUGCGAUAAGUAAUGUGAAUUGCAGAAUUCAGUGAAUCAUCGAAUCUUUGAACGCACCUUGCGCUCCUUGGUAUUCCGAGGAGCAUGCCUGUUUGAGUGUCAUGAAAUUCUCAACCUUUUCGGCUUUUUCUAAGUUGAUCAGGCUUGGAUGUGGGAGUUUGCGGGCUUCUCUGAAGUCGGCUCUCCUUAAAUUCAUUAGUAGGGACCUCUGUUGCCUUAGCUUUUGGUGUGAUAAUUAUCUACGCCAUCAUGUGAAGCAGCUUUAAAUUGGAGGUUACUGCUUUCUAACCGUCUCCCAUGGGACAUUUUCUGACAAUUUGACCUCAAAUCAGGUAGGACUACCCGCU